This is a long non-coding RNA of Amphiprion ocellaris (clown anemonefish), 708 nucleotides long. RefSeq lists it as uncharacterized. The transcript is spliced from 3 exons. The record is from RefSeq and is a predicted model, not a curated record. Lineage: Eukaryota; Metazoa; Chordata; Actinopteri; Pomacentridae.
GGGAUUUUGCACAGAGACCUGAAGCCUGAAAACAUUUUGUUUGAUAUCAGCAACAAACUGUUUAUCGCAGAUUUUGGAGCAAACAGAAAACUGGAUUUGGCACAGCCAACGUUGCUGUCUCAAAUGGCUGGAUCUUUUUCUUGGUCAAGUUAUGAGGAUGUUGGAGGCAUACAAUACAAGUACAAGAAAGAGUCAGAUAUCCAGGAAAUAGAACCACAGAUCUCCCUUUCCCUUGAUAUGUCAGAGGAAGAAGAUGAUGAUGAUGAUGAACCAACAGAAGUAGAUGAUGAAGUAACCAAGAAAGUCAUCAGAAAAAAGCAGUUAAGACUGGGAUGAAAAAGGAUGAAAAUGUCCUUGAAUGCAGUUUGAAGGGUAUCCAAGUGAAAAUGUCCUCAAACACCGCACACAAACAUGUCUACGACAAGAAAAAUUACUGCUUCUAUUGUCAGAAGCCUUUCGGAAAAGUUUCAAGACACCUGAUGCGAAAACAUCAAGAUGAAGUUGACGUUGCAAAGGCACUUGCACACAAGCAAGGAUCCACAAUGCGCAGCCUUCUUCUGAGCAAAAUAUGGAAUGAGGGAAACUACCGAAAUAACUGUUCAGGCCUAUCCUCUGGUUAAGGACAAAUAGUACCAAAAAAACAAACAACCUACAUGUCAUCAGCAACAGACCAUAUACCAUGCCAGUUUUGUUUGGCUAUGGGGGGGG